Molecule: ribosomal RNA, 603 nt
Filed under: Bacillus sp. AS2(2013)
Lineage: Bacteria; Bacillati; Bacillota; Bacilli; Caryophanales; Bacillaceae
Description: bacterial SSU rRNA
Rfam family: Bacterial small subunit ribosomal RNA
Source: RNAcentral
CUACGGGAGGCAGCAGUAGGGAAUCUUCCGCAAUGGACGAAAGUCUGACGGAGCAACGCCGCGUGAGUGAUGAAGGUUUUCGGAUCGUAAAGCUCUGUUGUUAGGGAAGAACAGUACCGUUCGAAUAGGGCGUACCUUGACGGUACCUAACCAGAAAGCCACGGCUAACUACGUGCCAGCAGCCGCGGUAAUACGUAGGUGGCAAGCGUUGUCCGGAAUUAUUGGGCGUAAAGGGCUCGCAGGCGGUUUCUUAAGUCUGAUGUGAAAGCCCCCGGCUCAACCGGGGAGGGUCAUUGGAAACUGGGGAACUUGAGUGCAGAAGAGGAGAGUGGAAUUCCACGUGUAGCGGUGAAAUGCGUAGAGAUGUGGAGGAACACCAGUGGCGAAGGCGACUCUCUGGUCUGUAACUGACGCUGAGGAGCGAAAGCGUGGGGAGCGAACAGGAUUAGAUACCCUGGUAGUCCACGCCGUAAACGAUGAGUGCUAAGUGUUAGGGGGUUUCCGCCCUUNAGUGCUNGACCUAACGCAUUAAGCACUCCGCCUGGGGAGUACGGUCGCAAGACUGAAACUCAAAGGAAUUGACGGGGGNCCGCACAAGCGGUG